Molecule: transfer RNA, 56 nt
Filed under: Crassicauda magna
Lineage: Eukaryota; Metazoa; Nematoda; Chromadorea; Rhabditida; Tetrameridae
Description: tRNA-Phe
Source: RNAcentral
GUUUCUUUAGUUUAAUUUUGAAUAAAAUUUUGAAAAGAUUUAGGUUUUAGGAGACG